CGCGCGGACGGUUCGCCGCCGCCGCCGGGGAGCGCCGGAGACCCCCCCGGGCCGCUACUGCGUCACGUCCCCCCCGCUCCUCCGUGAGGACGUCGGCACCGGGCCGGAGUGCCGCUACCGGUGACGGAUAUCCCGGGUCCGUUGCCCGCUCGAAGCAGAAAGCAGCGACGCGGGAACUGGCGUGCGCUUGGUUUGCUCUCUCGAGUUGCAAAAUCCAGGGAAAUUGUGUUUUCGUGUGUAGCGGCCAGGGGACUUUCCCUUCCUAAGUGGCUGUUCAUAUUCCUUUGCUCGAGCCCCACAUGAACACAGAUUUCAGCACCAUCCAAUAAUAAUCUGAAAAUUGCCUUCAUGGGUGAAGAUUGCUUUGAGUGGCAUUACUGGAAGUUACCCAUAGCCCUGCCUUAAUCUGGUCUGGGAAGACUUCCUAAAAAAUCAUUUCCAUAUCCAGCCUAUCAGCUAGAGUAAGGAUAUGUAUCCAAAUGAUCAGAGUAAUUCUUGCCCAUGCCUGGUUUGGAUGAGGAGUACAUACAUGAGGACUUCAAGAUGGUAAGCUCUGCAAGGCAUCUGCACCAGCUGCCAUCUGAAUAGUCAACUGGAUAGGUGCUGCUAGCUGGAAUGGCCCUGGUCUGUCAGAGUGCUGGAAAUACAGGCCACGUGUGACCUUCAAGCAUGCUAGGAUGGAGAAAAUCCUUCAACAUUUGGAAAGCUGAUGUUCCCGAGUUGUGCUGGAAGUUGUGGUUGGGCGGGGGCACCUGUUUAAUGCUGCAAGUUUCAUAAACAGAAAGAGAGGAGAGGAGAGGAGAGGAGAGGAGAGGAGAGGAGAGGAGAGGAGAGGAGAGGA
This is a long non-coding RNA of Gallus gallus (chicken), 841 nucleotides long. NCBI's taxonomy places the organism in Eukaryota, Metazoa, Chordata, Aves, Galliformes, Phasianidae. The record is from Ensembl.